GACGGCGACGGACUCAUCACCUUCGACGCGUUCAUCAUAUGGUGGCCUGAGACGGUGCAUGCUUCGCCAAAUCUUGAGGCUCCAAGAUCUCCUCCCCUGUUUCUCGUUUUCGUGACCGACGAGGCUGCAACGACCUAUCUCUGUCCCUUUUUCCCUAAUUCCCCCUUUUCCCUUGCUCAAUUCGUGCUGAAUCUGUGCAGGAGCCGACGAUCCCGAUCUCUAGGAACCCUCAAGGUGAUGCAUCUCUUCAACUGGCGUGAAGCUGAGCACUUCAACCUCAAGCUGCUCUCCGGCGCCAUGUAUUCUCUAUCCGCUCGGCUGCUGCAGUAAUUUCUCCCACCUCCACGGUUCCAAUCUCUAGAUCAAUCGAGUGGACACCUCUUGGACGUCAACAAGAGCGCCAUCGCCAUCGACCCCUCAGCUCGGACGAAACAUCUGUCCGUCGCCCCACCAGCAAGCUGCAAGGGCUUACUAUGGUGUCCUCUGUUUUGUCAUUGAGAGUGGUGCCAAGGUCAUUAUUAGUGGCAAGCUUAGGGCUCAGAGGGUCAAGAGACCAUGAGUACAUUGAUGCAGCUGGGAGACACAUGCUUCUCAGAGAGG
Molecule: non-coding RNA, 600 nt
Organism: Lolium perenne
Lineage: Eukaryota; Viridiplantae; Streptophyta; Magnoliopsida; Poales; Poaceae
Source: RefSeq, a predicted model, not a curated record